Molecule: ribosomal RNA, 253 nt
Filed under: uncultured bacterium
Lineage: Bacteria
Description: partial 16S ribosomal RNA
Rfam family: Bacterial small subunit ribosomal RNA
Source: RNAcentral
GACAGAGGAUGCAAGCGUUAUCCGGAAUGAUUGGGCGUAAAGCGUCUGUAGGUGGCUUUUUAAGUCCGCCGUCAAAUCCCAGGGCUCAACCCUGGACAGGCGGUGGAAACUACCAAGCUGGAGUACGGUAGGGGCAGAGGGAAUUUCCGGUGGAGCGGUGAAAUGCGUAGAGAUCGGCAGGAACACCAGUGGCGAAGGCGGCCACCUAGCCCGCACCUGACGCUGAGGCGCGACAGCGUGGGGAGCGAACUGG